UCCACGGGGAGCUUGUAGGCAACGACAGGCUGAGAGGGAGCGCGCCCGCUCCGACCCGCCGAACCUGAUGUGGGUAAUGCCAACGAAGGGAGCUGUG
This 97-nucleotide non-coding RNA is filed under the name uncultured Collinsella sp. Its description in RNAcentral is "TPP riboswitch (THI element)". The stretch from base 5 to 91 matches the Rfam family "TPP riboswitch aptamer (THI element)", at positions 11 to 88 of the family's 105-position model. From Rfam's summary of the family: Vitamin B(1) in its active form thiamin pyrophosphate (TPP) is an essential coenzyme that is synthesised by coupling of pyrimidine and thiazole moieties in bacteria. The previously detected thiamin-regulatory element, thi box was extended, resulting in a new, highly conserved RNA secondary structure, the THI element, which is widely distributed in eubacteria and also occurs in some archaea. The record is from RNAcentral. Lineage: Bacteria; Bacillati; Actinomycetota; Coriobacteriia; Coriobacteriales; Coriobacteriaceae.